RNAcentral lists this ribosomal RNA (481 nucleotides) under uncultured bacterium. Its description in RNAcentral is "partial 16S ribosomal RNA". It matches the Rfam family "Bacterial small subunit ribosomal RNA", at positions 28 to 507 of the family's 1533-position model. The record is from RNAcentral.
GAUGAACGCUGGCGGCGUGCCUAACACAUGCAAGUCGAACGGAGAUUACGGACGGAAGUUUUCGGAUGGAAGCCUGUAAUUCUUAGUGGCGGACGGGUGAAUAACGCGUGGGCAACCUGCCCUAUACAGGGGGAUAGCAGCUGGAAACGGCUGGUAAGACCGCAUAAGUCGGUUAAAUCGCAUGAUUUGAUCGGGAAAUGAGCAAUCAGGUAUAGGAUGGGCCCGCGUCCGAUUAGCCAGUUGGCAGGGUAAAAGCCUACCAAAGCGACGAUCGGUAGCCGGACUGAGAGGUCGGACGGCCACAUUGGGACUGAGACACGGCCCAAACUCCUACGGGAGGCAGCAGUGGGGGAUAUUGCACAAUGGAGGAAACUCUGAUGCAGCGACGCCGCGUGAGUGAAGAAGUAUUUCGGUAUGUAAAGCUCUAUCAGCAGGGAAGAUGAUGACGGUACCUGACUAAGAAGCCCCGGCUAACUACGUG